AGCGAACGCUGGCGGCAGGCCUAAUACAUGCAAGUCGAGCGCACCUUCGGGUGAGCGGCGGACGGGUGAGUAACGCGUGGGAAUGUGCCCUUUGGUACGGAACAACUGAGGGAAACUUCAGCUAAUACCGUAUGUGCCCUUCGGGGAAGAUUUAUCGCCAUUGGAGCAGCCCGCGUUGGAUUAGGUAGUUGGUGAGGUAAAGGCUCACCAAGCCGACGAUCCAUAGCUGGUCUGAGAGGAUGAUCAGCCACACUGGGACUGAGACACGGCCCAGACUCCUACGGGAGGCAGCAGUAGGGAAUCUUGCGCAAUGGGCGAAAGCCUGACGCAGCCAUGCCGCGUGAAUGAUGAAGGUCUUAGGAUUGUAAAAUUCUUUCACCGGGGAAGAUAAUGACGGUACCCGGAGAAGAAGCCCCGGCUAACUUCGUGCCAGCAGCCGCGGUAAU
This 446-nucleotide ribosomal RNA is filed under the name uncultured bacterium. RNAcentral describes it as "bacterial SSU rRNA". It matches the Rfam family "Bacterial small subunit ribosomal RNA", at positions 29 to 524 of the family's 1533-position model. The record is from RNAcentral.